This 169-nucleotide antisense RNA is filed under the name Psychromonas ingrahamii 37. RNAcentral's name for it is "Vibrio RNA AS7". It matches the Rfam family "Vibrio RNA AS7". From Rfam's summary of the family: Identified by direct cloning an parallel sequencing experiments with 5S/tRNA depletion. Confirmed by Northern blot. The record is from Rfam by way of RNAcentral. Lineage: Bacteria; Pseudomonadati; Pseudomonadota; Gammaproteobacteria; Alteromonadales; Psychromonadaceae.
GGUGUUUGCAGUAAUAAUGCUGAUCGCAGCUCUAUUUCACCACCAAUAUGAUAGGGCAAACCGCAGUUAGCAAAUGAGAUAUACGGACCACGCUCAAACACAAUAAUUUGUGCAUUUUCAUCUAAACGACGUGCUCGGGCUGCUGCUGAUGCACCGCCAGCAACGCCAC